UCUCUUCCUCUCUCUCUCUCUCUCUCUCUCUCUCUCUCUCUCUCUCUCUAUAUAUAUAUAUAUAUAGUUGAGCUGGAAUGCUAUCGGUAGCAAAUGGGCUACGUUGCCACCCAUUUAUUUUCGAUGAUGGAGCCUUCAAAUUGACGAUCGGCACCGUUGAAUAUGAUCUAUAUCACCCGAAGUAUCCAGAAAUCAAAUUUCAAAUUUUUUUGACAUCGUUGACCUAAUGAUUAAAGGGUUUCAAAAUUUGUAAUUUUAAUGAUCGAUAUGAGGCGUUUUCUCGUUUAAGCUAUCCAAAUCUUUGUUAAAAAAUUUUUUAAACUAUUUAAAACAAGAUAUAUAUUCUCGACUUUGAUAACAAAAUUCCUAUCAUCACUUUUUAGAGGAUAUUCAUUUUCAAUCGUUCAUUUUUACACCCACUUGAUGAACAAGAGAACAAUAUCGAAAAAGCAUGAAAUUUGAUUUAUAAAUACUUCAAGUGGUAUAAAUCAUUUUCAACAGUACUGAUCGUCGACUUGGAGGCUCUAUCAUCAAAAAUAAAUGGGUGGCAAGGGAGCCGUUUGCUACCGAUAAUAUUCCAACUCAACUCUCUCUCUCUCUCUCUCUCUCUCUCUCUCUCUCUCUCUCUCUAUAUAUAUAUAUAUAUAUAUAUUAUAGAGUUCAACUACUAUAUUGUUAUGAGUAUAAGUCCCUUUGUACUCAUAAGUUUUGGCCAUUAAAUCCACACCAUUGAUCAUUUCCACCUAUUAUAUCAUAUUAUUUAACCAACCACCCACUCAACCCUAGAGAACUACUAUCAUCAUAAUCAGAAGCUAUUAUCCUCCUAAUCGUACAUCAUUUCAUCCAACGGUUAAAAAUUUAUGAAUACAAACGGGCUUAUACUUAUAAAAAUACAGUAGCCCUAACCUAAAUUAUAAUUACAAAAUAAAAAAUAAAAUUUUAAAUUAAAAAAUAAU
Molecule: long non-coding RNA, 956 nt
Filed under: Ananas comosus (pineapple)
Lineage: Eukaryota; Viridiplantae; Streptophyta; Magnoliopsida; Poales; Bromeliaceae
Description: long non-coding RNA (ACOM_LNC014657)
Source: RNAcentral